Molecule: ribosomal RNA, 443 nt
Filed under: uncultured bacterium
Lineage: Bacteria
Description: partial 16S ribosomal RNA
Rfam family: Bacterial small subunit ribosomal RNA
Source: RNAcentral
CCUACGGCGUGCAGCAGUGGGGAAUAUUGGGCAAUGGGCGCAAGCCUGACCCAGCAACGCCGCGUGAAGGAAGAAGGCUUUCGGGUUGGAAACUUCUUUUUUCAGGGACGAAGCAAGUGACGGUACCUGACGAAUAAGCCACGGCUAACUACGUGCCAGCAGCCGCGGUAAUACGUAGGUGGCAAGCGUUAUCCGGAUUUACUGGUUGUAAAGGGCGUGUAGGCGGGACGGCAAGUCAGUUGUGAAAACCACGGGCUCAACCUGUGGCCUGCAUUUGAGACUGUAGUUCUUGAGUACUGGAGAGGCAGACGGAAUUCCUAGUGUAGCGGGGAAAUGCGUAGAUAUGAGGAGGAACACCAGUGGCGAAGGCGGCCUGCUGAACAGCGACUGACGCUGAGGCGCGAAAGUGUGGGGAGCAAACAGGAUUAGAUACCCUAGUAGUC